This 497-nucleotide ribosomal RNA is filed under the name uncultured bacterium. Its description in RNAcentral is "partial 16S ribosomal RNA". It matches the Rfam family "Bacterial small subunit ribosomal RNA", at positions 28 to 507 of the family's 1533-position model. The record is from RNAcentral.
GAUGAACGCUGGCGGCGUGCCUAAUACAUGCAAGUCGAGCGAACGGACGAGGAGCUUGCUUUUCUGAUGUUAGCGGCGGACGGGUGAGUAACACGUGGAUAACCUACCUAUAAGACUGGGAUAACUUCGGGAAACCGGAGCUAAUACCGGAUAAUAUUUUGAACCGCAUGGUUCAAAAGUGAAAGACGGUCUUGCUGUCACUUAUAGAUGGAUCCGCGCUGCAUUAGCUAGUUGGUAAGGUAACGGCUUACCAAGGCAACGAUGCAUAGCCGACCUGAGAGGGUGAUCGGCCACACUGGGACUGAGACACGGUCCAGACUCCUACGGGAGGCAGCAGUAGGGAAUCUUCCGCAAUGGGCGAAAGCCUGACGGAGCAACGCCGCGUGAGUGAUGAAGGUCUUCGGAUCGUAAAACUCUGUUAUUAGGGAAGAACAUAUGUGUAAGUAACUGUGCACAUCUUGACGGUACCUAAUCAGAAAGCCACGGCUAACUACGUG